This 87-nucleotide transfer RNA is filed under the name Lujinxingia litoralis. It matches the Rfam family "tRNA". Rfam says of the family: Transfer RNA (tRNA) molecules are approximately 80 nucleotides in length. Their secondary structure includes four short double-helical elements and three loops (D, anti-codon, and T loops). Lineage: Bacteria; Deltaproteobacteria; Bradymonadales; Lujinxingiaceae. RNAcentral also lists the same sequence under 5 other names. The record is from Rfam by way of RNAcentral.
GGAGGGGUGGCCGAGUGGUCGAAGGCGCUUGAUUCGAAAUCAAGUGUACCUUCACGGGUACCGUGGGUUCGAAUCCCACCCCCUCCG